CAAGGGAUAGUUUAAGAAAAAAAUUUUAAUUUUGGAGAUUAAAGAUGAAAGAAUUUUUCUUCCUUGA
This 67-nucleotide transfer RNA is filed under the name Medon piceus. Its description in RNAcentral is "tRNA-Pro". The record is from RNAcentral. Lineage: Eukaryota; Metazoa; Arthropoda; Insecta; Coleoptera; Staphylinidae.